This is a long non-coding RNA of Lolium rigidum, 910 nucleotides long. RefSeq lists it as uncharacterized. The record is from RefSeq and is a predicted model, not a curated record. The transcript has 2 exons. NCBI's taxonomy places the organism in Eukaryota, Viridiplantae, Streptophyta, Magnoliopsida, Poales, Poaceae.
CUUUGAUUAUUUCUGCUGGUCGCCUGCAGGAAAUCGAACAAGGACUCGUCCAUGGACCUCCUCCUGGCGCCGGCAACCACAACAACGACCUGGUGCUUCCUGCCGCCCGCUAGAGGACGGCUGGCCGGCGAUGGAGAUCCACGGAGUCCGCUUUGCGCUCGUGGUGGAGACCCUCUUCCCGAUGUCUCCUCCAUGACGCCGCGCCAGCAAGCCAGCGUUCGCAGUUGACGGCUUUGCUCCCUGUCCCGUACCCUCGUCCCUUCCAUCUAGAACGGCGAGUGUAGAAAAAAUUCCCGAUUUUUCAUCUACUACACUAGCAGGAUUUCUAAUCCUGGGAACAAGCAGCCGUUUGUAGGUAGAUUCAUACGAGCUCUACUUGAUGUACUGCAGUUUCUUACUCUACUUCACACUGGUUUCAGCCCAAGGAAGCUUAUGCGAGUCAGUUGCUGCCCACCGGAGCUGUAUUAGAUGUUUACACACUGUAUAUAUUGUCAGUAGAUGUAUAUGCACUAUUAUGUGCUCAAUUCUUUUGAUUUUGUUUGUUGCUUAUUUUUAUGCAGUAGCAGUUCUCAUCAGCGACUUGCACAAAGUUCACCGCGGUGUAGCUCCGGAUGAUUUCUGCAAUCGGGAGGUCGACAACACAAGUUGUGGCAGAGGUCAAUUUUGCAAUUUAUGAGUUGGGGCGGUCCAGAAUAUGAUUUUGAUGUGGUUCAGAAAUAGUGUAGAAGCUGAUUUUGGUUUCUGUAGCAAAUGCUUGAUGGAUUAUGCUAUUCACGUGUAGAGAUACUGUAGAUGUUGAUCAAGUGGUAUGCUAUAGAAUUAUUCGUAUUAUGUUCAUGUUUGCAUUAGGAUUUGAACAAUGUUUUGUACGACCAGAUUAUAUUGAGAAUAUGUGGAUGUGUAUGUUGAA